RNAcentral lists this ribosomal RNA (468 nucleotides) under uncultured bacterium. RNAcentral describes it as "partial 16S ribosomal RNA". It matches the Rfam family "Bacterial small subunit ribosomal RNA", at positions 28 to 507 of the family's 1533-position model. The record is from RNAcentral.
GACGAACGCUGGCGGCGUGCUUAACACAUGCAAGUCGAACGGAAAGGCCCGGCUUUUGUGGGGUGCUCGAGUGGCGAACGGGUGAGUAACACGUGAGUAAACUGCCCUUGACUUUGGGAUAACUUCAGGAAACUGGGGCGAAUACCGGAUAGGAGCUCCUGCUGCACGGGGGGGGUUGGAAAGUUUCGGCCGUUGUGGAUGGACUCGAGGCUUAUCAGCUUGUUGGUGGGGUAGUGGCUGACCAAGGCUUUGACGGGUAGCCGGCCUGAGAGGUUGACCGGCCUCCUUGCUCCUGCGGUACGCCCCAGUCUCCUACGGGAGGCAGCAGUGGGGAGUCUUGCGCAAUGGGCGCACGCCUGUUGCGGCAGCGUCGCGUUCGGGAUGACGUCCUUCGGGUUGUAAACCGCUUUCUCCUGUGACGAAGCGGGCGUGACGGUACUUGGUAAAGAAGCACCGGCUAACUACGUG